AAUGAGACAACUAUCCACAAAAGACCAAAAUGACACAGACAUUAACAACUAUAGGUCACCGUACGGCCUUCACCAAUGAGCAAAGCCCAUACCGCAUAGUCAGCUAUAAAAGGCCCCGAACUGACAAUGUAAAACAAUUCAAACGAGAAACUAACGGCCUUAUUUAUGUAAAAAAAUAAACGAAAAACAGAUAUGUAACACAUAAACAAACGAC
This 214-nucleotide long non-coding RNA is filed under the name Mytilus galloprovincialis (Mediterranean mussel). The record is from RNAcentral. Lineage: Eukaryota; Metazoa; Mollusca; Bivalvia; Mytilida; Mytilidae.